GGCCUCGUGGUCAAAUGGUAAUGACACUUGACUACCACUCUGGAGCCCCGCGUUCGAUCCCCGGUCGAAGAGCUA
Non-coding RNA from Rhamnusium bicolor, 75 nucleotides. The record is from the annotation of a GenBank genome assembly. Lineage: Eukaryota; Metazoa; Arthropoda; Insecta; Coleoptera; Cerambycidae.